RNAcentral lists this ribosomal RNA (271 nucleotides) under uncultured bacterium. RNAcentral's name for it is "partial 16S ribosomal RNA". It matches the Rfam family "Bacterial small subunit ribosomal RNA", at positions 524 to 794 of the family's 1533-position model. The record is from RNAcentral.
UACGGAGGAUCCAAGCGUUAUCCGGAUUUAUUGGGUUUAAAGGGUGCGUAGGCGGCGCGCUAGGUCAGUGGUGAAAGACGGUGGCUCAACCAUCGCAGUGCCGUUGAUACUGGCGCGCUUGAAUUCGGAUGAGGUAGGCGGAAUGUGGCAAGUAGCGGUGAAAUGCAUAGAUAUGUCACAGAACACCAAUUGCGAAGGCAGCUUACUAAGGUGUCAAUGACGCUGAGGCACGAAAGCGUGGGGAUCAAACAGGAUUAGAAACCCUGGUAGU